Molecule: unclassified non-coding RNA, 230 nt
Filed under: uncultured Ascomycota
Lineage: Eukaryota; Fungi; Ascomycota
Description: sequence contains ITS2
Source: RNAcentral
UUAACCUAACCUCGCGCCAGGACAUGUGGGCCUGGCAGCGGACCUGGGGCAUGGCGCCAUGCGCAGCCGUGCCCUGAAAUGCGCGAGAGUGUGGCCAUCUUCGCCUGAACGGUCUGGCUGCGUGUUGCAAGUCGCUUCGGCGCACCGCACGCGCGCACUGCCACGGCCGCCUCGGCGCAGGCCAUGGCCACGCUGCACGACAACGAAGCGCGCACCCGCGUGCGCACCCC